RNA transcript from Populus trichocarpa (black cottonwood), 2261 nucleotides. It is a transcript of the gene named F-box/kelch-repeat protein SKIP6, with no coding region annotated. The transcript is spliced from 5 exons. The record is from RefSeq and is a predicted model, not a curated record. Lineage: Eukaryota; Viridiplantae; Streptophyta; Magnoliopsida; Malpighiales; Salicaceae.
CUGAUGGAAUCUUAACUACCGGUGCUCCAUUUUAAAUCCUAGGUCUCAACAACAGCACGCGCGCACAACUCCCAAGCCAAACCCACCGCCAUGUCAACGACCACCACCACCGAAUCACCAUCAACACCACCGCAAAUCCUAAUACCCUCCCUCCCAAACGACAUCGCCUUAAACAUCUUAGCCCGCAUCCCAAGGUCCUAUCACCCACGACUUACCCUCGUCUCCAAACCUUUCCGUUCCAUCCUUUCCUCCCCUCUACUCUACACAACUCGCUCCCUCCUCAAUACCUCUCAACACUUUCUCUACCUUUCCCUCCGCAUCCCCACCACAACUUCCCUGCAGUGGUUCACGCUCUAUCCAGACCAGACAAAGAAUUCCUUAAUUCCACUCACUCCCGCACCUUCCCCUCUCGUGGGCUCCGCUUUCGCCGCUGUGGGACCCAAGAUUUAUGUCAUCGGUGGCUCGAUCAAUGACAUCCCGUCCCCCCACGUGUGGGCACUGGACUGCCGGUCCCACACGUGGGAGGCUGUCCCUAGCAUGAGAAUUUCGCGUGAGUUUGCUGCUGCUGGGGUUGUGGAUGGGAGAAUUUAUGUGAUUGGCGGUUGCGUGGUGGACACGUGGGCGAAGUCGAGGAAUUGGGCGGAGGUUUUUGAUCCGAAAACGGAGAGGUGGGAUUCUGUUGAUAGUGGAAAGGAUGAUUUGUUACGCGAAAAAUGGAUGCACGGAAGUGCUGUAGUGAACGAGAGAAUUUAUGUGAUGGCGGAUAGGAAUGGGGUUGUUUAUGAGCCGAAAACGAAGAGAUGGGAGAGUGUGGAGAGUGAAUUGGAUUUAGGGUGGAGAGGGAGAGCAUGUGUGGUUAAUGGGAUCUUGUAUUGUUAUGAUUAUGUGGGAAAUAUUAGGGGUUUUGAUGUGAGGAAUGGGGCUUGGAAGGAGCUGAGGGGGGUUGAAAAGGAGUUGCCGAGGUUUUUGUGUGGUGCCACAAUGGCGAAUGUAGGUGGGAAGUUGGUGGUGGUUUGGGAAAGAAAAGGGAAUGUGAAGGAAAUGGAGGUAUGGUGUGCGGAAAUUGAGGUGGAGGAGAAUGGAGAGGGGGAGUUGCGGGGGAGGGUUGAGUGGUGUGAUGUUGUUCAUAAGGUUCCCAUUGGGUCGUCUAUUGUUCAUUGUUUGGCUGUUUCGAUGUGAGGAUCUAUCGCAGCGCACCAACAUAAGAAGAACAGGGGAUCACGACAUGAAAAAUUGCUUAGGAGAUUCACUAUUCUAAAAUCAGCUAGGAGAUGUUUCUUUCGUGGAUAGGAGGAAGCACUUCAGGAGAGGAUCAAGGAUUUUUGUGGCAAAGAAGACUAGAGGAAAGACACCAUUUGAAAAUUAGUCGUAUAUGUUCCUAAAUUUUGACGGGAUUGUGGAUCCGACCAGAUCCACAAUCCCAUCAAGACUUUGGAGCACAUAUGACAGGUUCUCAGAAUGGCCAAUAUUCAUGGGGUGAGCGCGAUAUCUCAAUGGCUCUUCUGGACAGUGUUUUAAGAACAGCGAAUAAUGAUCUUGCAGCGCAUCGAGCACACAAAUUAUGAUUGUUUAUUAAUCAUACUCAGAGUACUGAUCCCUGAGGUUAGAAGCCUGGAGAAAAUUACAGAAUUUAGACCUGUUAGUUUAUUAAGCCUUGUAUAAAAUCAUCUCAAAGAGUAUUUGCUAUCAGGCUUAAAACUUUUUACCAGAGAUUUGGACAGCUAGCCAUAUGGAAAGAUUGAAUGGAUGUCAGGGUUAACUUCGAGGAUUUGUUAUGGACAGUAAUGGGUAUGGAGGUUGUAGAUCUGAUGGGGUUCCUGUCUCGCUUCUUUGAUGGAAUAGAAAUAGUGUAGCUUUUGGCAAACGAGUUCUGUCAGCACAAGAAAUUGAUUCAAAAGCUUUAGCAUAUCUGAAGGGUUUCCUUGAAGCUUGUGCUUUUCGAGAACCUACCAUCCGCUCCUAUUCUUGGGUUUAUGAAGAUGAAUGAUGGUGGGACGUGGGAUGGAGACAGCGGAACUGCCGGAUAUGGUAUUUUCUUUCAUGGAAAAGGCGAGUUUCUGGCUGGUUUUUGAAAGAAAGAUCUUCCUUAAAACAUCGACUAAGAAGAUAUUACUGUUUUCGUCAAUAUCGACUACCAGAUCAAACUGGGGGCAGCAAUUUGGAAAUGGAGGCCAAGCUUGUCGCUAGCUUAUUCUGCAUGCAAGUUUCUUUGGAAGUGCUCUCUUCUUGCAAGUGCUAAGACCCUAAUCCGUACUGAUCGA